AAGAAAGUGGUAAAGUGGCUAUACAGAUGGCUUGAAACCAUCUCACAGGGGUUCGAUUCCUCUCUUUCUCG
Molecule: transfer RNA, 71 nt
Filed under: Paraplagusia blochii (Bloch's tonguesole)
Lineage: Eukaryota; Metazoa; Chordata; Actinopteri; Pleuronectiformes; Cynoglossidae
Description: tRNA-Ser
Rfam family: tRNA
About the family: Transfer RNA (tRNA) molecules are approximately 80 nucleotides in length.
Source: RNAcentral